Long non-coding RNA from Callithrix jacchus (white-tufted-ear marmoset), 692 nucleotides. RefSeq lists it as uncharacterized. Lineage: Eukaryota; Metazoa; Chordata; Mammalia; Primates; Cebidae. The record is from RefSeq and is a predicted model, not a curated record.
CGACGACAGGGUACACGGAGCAAUGGCGGCCGGCACCGCCCAUCUGCCCCGCCCCGGCUUCACGUGACUAACUGGGCUUGUGCGCGCAAUCGGAAGGGGCGGACUCCUUUCCCCGCAGGCCGGAAACCCCGCACCUCAGGGUGCGUAAUGGACAUAAGGUAAACAAUUCCUGGAGAAACUUUCCGGCAUCCCACCCGACCCUGCCCAGCCUCCCGUUAACCAGUGCGCAAGUGCGAGGAGGCGGUGCCCAGCGCUCCGCCGCCCCACCCUCUGCAGAGGUGAAGACGUCACUGAGCAUCGACGCGCACUUUUAGGACGCGUUUGUGACCCGCCUUCUGGAAGGGAUCCCCAGCAGCUAACUACGGCGACCACCACGGAGCAGUGGGAUCUGGUGGAGAUGGUAGAGGCGCUCUACGAGGUGAGGGACUCUGUCAGGUCCUGCAUACCAAUGAAACUACUGAUGCCAGCUGGUCUGAAGGACCCCACAGGAGCUGACUCACCAAAGAACACAGCUUGUACACCCUGAUGAUUUCAUCCUCCCUACCCUGACCAAUCAACAACCCCACUCUUACAUCCCUCACCUUCCAUAAUCUCCUUAAAAUCCUCAGCUCAGAACUCCUCCAGAAGAUGGGUUUGAGGGUCUCCACCAUCUCCUGCUCCAUCCCUGUGAUCAUUAAACUCUCUGCUGCAAA